Molecule: ribosomal RNA, 420 nt
Filed under: Fusobacteriota bacterium
Lineage: Bacteria; Fusobacteriati; Fusobacteriota
Description: Fusobacteria bacterium partial 16S ribosomal RNA
Rfam family: Bacterial small subunit ribosomal RNA
Source: RNAcentral
UGGGGGAUAUUGCACAAUGGGCGAAAGCCUGAUGCAGCGACGCCGCGUGGGGGAUGAAGGCCUUCGGGUUGUAAACUUCUUUUGCUCUGAACAAGGCAUGCCUUUGGGGUGUGUUGAGUGUAGGGGUUGAUUAGCGCCGGCUAACUACGUGCCAGCAGCCGCGGUAAUACGUAGGGCGCGAGCGUUUUCCGGAAUUAUUGGGCGUAAAGGGCUUGUAGGUGGCUGGUUGCGUCUGUCGUGAAAGCUCAUGGCUUAACUGUGGGUUUGCGGUGGGUACGGGCUGGCUUGAGUGCAGUAGGGGAGGCUGGAAUUCCUGGUGUAGCGGUGGAAUGCGAAGAUAUCAGGAGGAAUACCGGUGGCAAAGGCGGGUCUCUGGGCUGUUACUGACGCUGAGGAGCGAAAGCGUGGGGAGCGAACAGG